ACACUGAGGCGUGACGACGAGGCACUACGGUGCUGAAGCAACAAAUGCCCUGCUUCCAGGAAAAGCCUCUAAGCAUCAGGUAACAUCAAAUCGUACCCCAAACCGACACAGGUGGUCAGGUAGAGAAUACCAAGGCGCUUGAGAGAACUCGGGUGAAGGAACUAGGCAAAAUGGUGCCGUAACUUCGGGAGAAGGCACGCUGACACGUAGGUGAAGUGAUUUACUCAUGGAGCUGAAGUCAGUCGAAGAUACCAGCUGGCUGCAACUGUUUAUUAAAAACACAGCACUGUGCAAACACGAAAGUGGACGUAUACGGUGUGACGCCUGCCCGGUGCCGGAAGGUUAAUUGAUGGGGUCAGCGCAAGCGAAGCUCCUGAUCGAAGCCCCGGUAAACGGCGGCCGUAACUAUAACGGUCCUAAGGUAGCGAAAUUCCUUGUCGGGUAAGUUCCGACCUGCACGAAUGGCGUAAUGAUGGCCAGGCUGUCUCCACCCGAGACUCAGUGAAAUUGAACUCGCUGUGAAGAUGCAGUGUACCCGCGGCAAGACGGAAAGACCCCGUGAACCUUUACUAUAGCUUGACACUGAACAUUGAGCCUUGAUGUGUAGGAUAGGUGGGAGGCUUUGAAGUGUGGACGCCAGUCUGCAUGGAGCCGACCUUGAAAUACCACCCUUUAAUGUUUGAUGUUCUAACGUGGACCCGUUACCCGGGUUGCGGACAGUGUCUGGUGGGUAGUUUGACUGGGGCGGUCUCCUCCUAAAGAGUAACGGAGGAGCACGAAGGUUGGCUAAUCCUGGUCGGACAUCAGGAGGUUAGUGCAAUGGCAUAAGCCAGCUUGACUGCGAGCGUGACGGCGCGAGCAGGUGCGAAAGCAGGUCAUAGUGAUCCGGUGGUUCUGAAUGGAAGGGCCAUCGCUCAACGGAUAAAAGGUACUCCGGGGAUAACAGGCUGAUACCGCCCAAGAGUUCAUAUCGACGGCGGUGUUUGGCACCUCGAUGUCGGCUCAUCACAUCCUGGGGCUGAAGUAGGUCCCAAGGGUAUGGCUGUUCGCCAUUUAAAGUGGUACGCGAGCUGGGUUUAGAACGUCGUGAGACAGUUCGGUCCCUAUCUGCCGUGGGCGCUGGAGAACUGAGGGGGGCUGCUCCUAGUACGAGAGGACCGGAGUGGACGCAUCACUGGUGUUCGGGUUGUCAUGCCAAUGGCACUGCCCGGUAGCUAAAUGCGGAAGAGAUAAGUGCUGAAAGCAUCUAAGCACGAAACUUGCCCCGAGAUGAGUUCUCCCUGAGACUUAGAGUCUCCUGAAGGAACGUUGAAGACGACGACGUUGAUAGGCCGGGUGUGUAAGCGCAGCGAUGCGUUGAGCUAACCGGUACUAAUGAACCGUGAGGCUUAACCUUACAACGCCG
This 1405-nucleotide ribosomal RNA is filed under the name Salmonella enterica. Its description in RNAcentral is "partial 23S ribosomal RNA". It matches the Rfam family "Bacterial large subunit ribosomal RNA", at positions 1553 to 2925 of the family's 2925-position model. Lineage: Bacteria; Pseudomonadati; Pseudomonadota; Gammaproteobacteria; Enterobacterales; Enterobacteriaceae. The record is from RNAcentral.